RNAcentral lists this transfer RNA (62 nucleotides) under Salmo salar (Atlantic salmon). It matches the Rfam family "tRNA", at positions 6 to 65 of the family's 71-position model. Rfam says of the family: Transfer RNA (tRNA) molecules are approximately 80 nucleotides in length. Lineage: Eukaryota; Metazoa; Chordata; Actinopteri; Salmoniformes; Salmonidae. The record is from Rfam by way of RNAcentral.
UGUGGCUCAGUUGAUAGAGCAUGGUGUUUGCAACGCCAGGGUUGUGGGUUCGAUUCCCACCA